GAUCAAACCACUAGGUCUCUCUUGGCAUUUGAGGAGGCAGUUCUUGGAGCUCCUCACGAAGAUUCACCCAGCUCCCUUCCGUGACGCUGCCCGGUGGCGGGCCCCAUCCUGGACAGCGGGCCCUGGCUCAUCUUGCUCUUCACUUCUUGUGACAUGAGUCACCCAGGUGAUUCCAGAGAAAAUUUUAAGUGAGAGCAUAACUGCAAAAUAGAUGACAAGUGAAUAACUGGAUCCAGUAAAAUGGUGAGACCCAGAUUCUGAAGGACCUCUUCCAGGUUUCAGGUGAUUCAAGCCCAAGCGCAGCUGGGCCGGUGAAUCCCGCACGGGGCUCCUGCACCUACGUUCCAUAUCCUGUUCUGUUCCUACUUGUCUCCUGGACACCUUCACCUAAUGCUCCGCAAGCACCACGAGUCCUCUUUGACAGAAGAUGCGGGUUUGAUCCCUGGGUCAGAAUUCCCUGGAGCAGGAAAUGAAAAUCCUACGGGUGGAUUUUCAGUCCAUGAUGGGCGACAGUCCACAGGGUCUCAAGCAGUCCGGCACGACUGACGACUGAGCACAGCAAUGCUAUGUUACACCCCUGACCCUCCCCUUCCCCGGGAAGCUCUCUUUCAGUUAAUCACAUCACAAUGAGUACAGAUACCUGAGUUACACUAGUAACUGGCACCUGCAUCUCCACUCCUUUCCUGGCCCCUUGCCCCCAGUCCACCUGGUUCUCACAUCCUGUGAUGCCCGCCCUCAUCAGCUCUGGGCAGCAUCCCGUCACUGCUGCACUGCCCAGGCUCAGGCCCUCCUGGCUGUGCCCUGGUCCCCAGAGCCGAAUCCUAGGGGCCCCUGGGUCCUCUCCCCCUGCACCCAGUCCAUCCUGAGGGCCGGUGCUGGAGUCAGAAAGGAAACGGGAGGGAAGGAGGGGAGGAUAUGGAUGAAUGAAGGAAUCAC
Bos taurus (domestic cattle) is the source of this 936-nucleotide long non-coding RNA. The record is from Ensembl. Lineage: Eukaryota; Metazoa; Chordata; Mammalia; Artiodactyla; Bovidae.